RNAcentral lists this long non-coding RNA (7621 nucleotides) under Ananas comosus (pineapple). RNAcentral describes it as "long non-coding RNA (ACOM_LNC024755)". The record is from RNAcentral. Lineage: Eukaryota; Viridiplantae; Streptophyta; Magnoliopsida; Poales; Bromeliaceae.
UGAAUCACAAGCGAGCCGACUCCGCCAGCGCCACCCAAAACAAGAACCGAUUUACCCGCGGAAAAUCCAGCUCUUUCGAGGCCUUCGUAUGCCGUCUCGAUGGCCAAAGGAAGACUAGCAGCCUGCGCAAAGUCCAGAUUCUUAGGUUUUACAGCCAGCAGCUUCUCCUCGACUGCGGUGUACUCCGCCAGCGAUCCGAAUUGCUUCAGAUUCUCCAACGCCUUCUCGUUUAUGUCCCCAUAUACUUCGUCCCCUUCUUUUAGGUUCUUGACUUGGCUACCAACCUUCACCACGAUGCCGGCCACAUCGUAACCUGGUACCGUCUACCAAUCAAGAGAACAUAGAAUAAAUUGCACAGUUUGGUGAAUAUAUCUGAAUAUUUAGAGAUUAAUAAGUUGACUACAGGAAAUAUAAAAGGGUAAAAUGCGAAAAUCAUCAAUAUACUCAAUUACUUAUAUUGCAAUUUUAGUCCCGGAACUUUUCACUUAAAGACUGCAGUCCAUGAACUUUUCCAAAUAUUGUAAUUUCAUUAAGACUCACAACUAGGGGAUGACCAUCCAGGUCAUUGUUCACGAGCUAGCUCAUGUUCGGCUCGAAAGGAGCUCGAGAUCGAAUAGCUCAUUUAGUAAACGAGCCGAACACAAGUUGGGGUCAGCUCGUUCGUGUUCGGCUCGAUAACAGCUCGAAUAUGUAUAUUUUAUAUUUAUGUAAUUUAUACAUUUUAUAUUUAUAUUUAUAUAAAUAAAUAUAAAUAAAUAAUUAUAUAUAUAAUAUAGGUUUUUAUUAUUUGAUUUUUAACUCAACCUAAAUAUAAAAUCCAACUCAAUUAUAAAAAUGCCAAUAUAUAUGUAAAAUCUCAACUAUUAGAUCAAAAUUUAAUAGAAAAGAUCUCAUAAAUUUAUUUUUUCUAUAUAUUCUUUCUAACCCGUUUAACUUGUUGUUCGUGGGCUGUUUCGUGGGCUAGCUCCCACACGAGCUCAAAAUUUUUAUACUUUAACGAGCCAACUCGUGUUCGGCUCGUUUCAUAUGAGCUAGCCCCAGCUCGCUCGUAUUCCCGGGCUCGCUAGUGUUUGGCUCAGUGACACCCCUACUCGCAACUACGUAAAAAACUUAGCCUUUUACUACAAAACAACAAGUUCAACCAUUAGGUAAAAUGAAUUUUUUCUUUUGGUACACUCAAAAUAGGGUCCAAAAGAUAAUUUUACAACGAAAGCUUUAUUUUAUUUCAUUUUUUUUUUCUUUUGCAUGGACAGGGAUGGAAUCACAGUACAUAUGAGAAAAGUAAUCAGGCCAAGUUGUAGUAUCGGAAUAGUACAGGAACCUAUAAUUCAUUUUCACCCUAAAUAGUUUGAUACUGUUAUCUUCUCCAUAAUUACACAAACCUAUAAAUUUACUGCUCUACAAGCGUACCAAAAAAAAAAAUGAAUAAUACAAUGUAUUCUUUGUAAAAAUUUCAAAUUAUCUAAAGCAUCGACAAAACUAAGAGGGAAAAAAAAAAAAAAAAAGGAAAUAUAUCGACGCACCGGUAAGGGCGAAUCCGUGGCCUUAAAUUUGCCCUGCCUCCGCUUAAAAUCGACGGGGUUGAGCGCGGCGGCGGAAACCCUAACGAGGACCUGAUCGUCCCCGACCUCGGGAACGGCGACCCCGUCCUCGAGGCGCAAAACCCCCGCGUCCCCGUACUCGUCGUAGAUCCACGCCCUCAUCUUCUCCGGGACCUCCGACGGGGCCACGACAACGGCGUCGGCCGAAGCCGCCGCCGACAUCGAGCUCGCAAAGACCCUAGUAGAGGGAGAAGCGACUCCGCCGCCGCCGCCGCCGCCGCCGCCGCGUCGUCCUCGGAGGCUACGAGGGCGAAGGAGAGGGGGAACGAGGUAGGGUUUUGAGGGGGAGGCGGAGGAGGAGGAGGAGGAGGAGGGAGGAGGUACGAUGGAGAGUGUGGGGCAUGGUGCGGUGGUAUUAAUAAUGGCGAUUUAAGCGUCGUCGCUUUCCCGGGGGUUGUUGGGGGAGGACACGUGGAGCGGAGGCAUUGGAGGGGAGAGAGAAAGAGCGAGUGCGGAUACGGUCACCGAAAGUAAGAGUAAGGGACUCUCUCACCGCUUUGGUUCAAUGAAUGGGACUGUGUUUUCGUUUAUUGAUUGAUAAUAAUGACUAGGUUCAAUGAAUAUUGGAUAAGUUUUAAAUAACACUCUGUAGUUUUUCACUUUCUCACUUUUUUUAUUUUAUGGUGUAAAAUAUAUCAAUUUAGUAUUCUAUAUUUUAUUUUAUUUUUUUCUUCGUUAACUUUUUAUUAAAUUAAAUACAAAAAACUUUAAAUACCCCACCGCAGCUUAUAGAAUAUUUACUUUAGUAUUCUUUAGUUUUAACUUUGUCACUGAUUUAACGAAAAAAAAUUAGUGAAAGGAAUAACAAAAAAAAAAAAAUAUCAAAGGGUGCAAAAAUGAUACACUUUAAACCACACAUGUACUCAAAUAAAAAAGUACAAAACAACAUGAUAGUAUUUGAAGUUUUUAUAUGAAUAUUUAUCAACCACCUAUAGUUCAAAAAAUUAUACUUAGAUAUUUUAUAAUUUUAUUUUUUUAUUUUAAUAAAAAUAAUAUUUUAGGAUAAUAGUACUUUUAACGCUACAUCUAUAUUGCAGGAUAGUUAAAUAUAAUUUUGCAAACUACGAGGCGAUAAAAUAAACAUAAUAUACUGCAAAAGGGCAAAUUGAAGUUUACUCUUAUUUUUAUUACUCUUAAAGAAUGGUUGCAUUUUCAAUAUAUCACUUGUUAUACUUAACCUCCAAAAUUAAAAAUAUAGAUACUUUAACUCCCUUGGAAAUUAAAAAUAUGUAAGAGGAUUAUGAUGCUAAAAUCUAUUUAUAAUCUAUAAUCUAUAAUUCGAUAUUAAUAUCUAAAAAUUUUCCACGUGACAGCCUCAUCAUCGUUAACGUAUGUGGGCUCCACAUACUAGUAUUAUCUCCCUUAAACUAACAUUUCAAUUUCCUUUAGUCGCUACUCUCCUUUUUUUUUAACUUGCUUUUUUCUUUCUUGAGCUGUUUCUUCACUUCCUCAAACCGAGCCCCUUUCCUAACUAAGAUAGGGUUCAAUGUAGGGGUGUAAAACGGGCCGGAUGGCACGUGGGCCGUGCGGCCCAGCACGGACUCGGGCUGGGCUACAGCACGACACUGAUACUGUAGCACCAGUGCCGGACGAGCCUCGGGGCCGCUUUUCUGUGGCUCGACGGCUGGGCCCGGCACGGCACGGCCCAAAACAGACCCCUACCUCCUCCCCGACCCCCUCAUCCGAGAACCCCUCCUCACUGGAAAGUGGAAACCCCACCCCCCCGGAAAACCCCAGCGCCUCCCGCCUUCAUUAAUUUUUUUUUUAAAAAAAAUAAUACAAAUUUAUUUUUUAAAAAAAAAAAUUAAAUAUUUACCAUAUUAUAAUUAUUUUAUAAAUUUGUAAAUGAUUUAAUCAAAUUUAAACUAAUUUUUUAAAAAAAAUUAAAAAUAAAUAUUUUAGGAGGCGGUCCGAAACACGGCCCAACCCGGCACGGCCAGUACCUCCCGGGCCGAAGAGCCGUGCCGGGCCAGAGGCUAGGCUGCUCUGGCCGGCCCGACACGGUCCGAAAUUGAAACCAGCCCGGGCCGGGCUGACCGCUAGUUCGUUUCAAGCUGAAAAAUGUGGGUUGUGCCGGCCUGGCCCACAUUACACCCCUAAUUCAAUGCAUUGUCGUUCCGUCAACCCUCCCCGCCACUUCCUCUAUCGUCAUUUCCUCUACUGGAUUCACACACUUUCACACCCUUAAAAAUAAAAAAAAAAAAUGAAUUAUUCCUACCCAGCUUAAGGUAUUAUUUGUGUUUAGACUUUUCUUUUCACCUAUUUUAGUUUCAACUUAUUUCUUCCAUCCUAGAACCUUAAAAUAAAAGGAUUUCAAAUUCCCCAGCUUUAGAAGGACAUUGCUUCUUCUACUGCAUCUUCAGCUUUUUUUUUUAUUUUUUCUGUUCUUCUUUUGCUAGCAAUCUCCUGCUCCUUCUUACGUAUUAUGCUGUUUCUUCUUCUUCUUCUUCUUAUGUACUCUACACCUUUUUCAUUCAAAUUGAAUUUAAAAUUCGAAGAAACUCACUUAUUUCCAUCUCUUUCUUCUAUUAAUUUAUUUACAUAAGUUUUUUUUUUUUUUUAUGAUACUCACAUUUUAUUGUUGUUGUUGCUGCUGCUGUUUCUUCCGCCGCAUCCGUAUAAAAAGCAGUGAUGAUGAGAACCUGCUGAAAUAAAGAUGAACAAUGAUGAUUGAAAAUUAGAUAAUAGAGCAAGUUUAAUGACUUAAGGGCAACUCUUGCACCUAUUUAUGUUUUAAAAAAAAAUGCUACCAAUUACUGCGGAAUAAGAAGUUUGUUUUGCUUUAUGAAAAAACAAUGAGGAAAACCUAACUAUCUUAGCUCAACUAUUUUUCUUAAAGCUUAAUUUUAAAAUUCGAAUAAAAUACGUUACUUUCAUCUACAUCUUCUAUGUCUUGUUAAAAAUACCUUUGUUAUGUGAAAAUACAAUAACUUAUAGUUUUCUAUUAUUUUUUACUUUGAUUUCGAGCAUAAACCUAGCUCUUCAUUUCUCUGCUGAAGUUGUAACGCCAAAACCUACAUAAGUUUUGGAUGGUCUGCUACUUCGUAGCCAACUAUUUUGCAGUUGUUCAACAAUUUUCUAGCCUUCAGUUGUAAUCGCAACGAAUCCUUGUCAUGUAUAAAUUUGUUUUUCAUAUUUUACCCAUAUUAUGUUGCUCAAAUAACGUUCGACUUGAGUUGGAAUAUUUGAAUUUUUAUAAAUCGCAAGCAACAUUAGUAUAUCUACAUAUGUUUAUUGAUUAAUGAUGUUUUCUUUGUUGAUUUUGAGUUUAGCCAUAUUUUAUUGAUCAAAUAAUAUUUUCAUUUUUGCUUUCAAAUUGUUUUAGUUUUAGAAAUUUAAUGUAUAAUAAGCUAUGAUGACAAACACAAUCUAAAGAAAUAGAAUCAGACAGAAAGAAGUGAUGAUUAAUUAUCAUCCAAAGGCAAUUUAGCCGGCAACAUGGCUACUGUAAUAUGGGGUUAUCUUAAUGCAUAUAUAUAUAUAUAUAUAGAGAGAGAGAGAGAGAGAGAGAGAGAGUGCUUGGCUACUAUACUUUGAUGAGUAUAGAGUCUAUUGUACUCAUAAAUUUUUGGCUGUUUUCACCCAUUCGAUUAUACUAUUCAACCAACCACCCACUCAAUUCUAGGGGGCCCACUAUCAAUUUAACAGUAAUCACUUUCAUUCUACCCGCACAUUUUUUUAUCUGAACGGUCGAAAACUUAUGAGUACAAAAAACUCUAUACUCAUAUGAGUAUAAUAGCCCCAGCCUAUAUAUAUAUAUAUAUAUAUAUAUAUAUAUAUAUAUAUAGUCCAGCUAUGGUGCUUGUAAAAGCACCAAGCACUUGGUGCUUAUAAGUUUUUUACCGUUAGAUAUACGCCUCGAAUCAUUUUCAACCAUUAGAUUAUACUAUUCAACCAACCACCCACAUCAUCUUAAUCGCAUAUCUUUUAAUCCAAUGGCUAAAAAUCUAUAAGCACCAAUAACUUGUACUUUUAAAAGCAUAGGAGCUCAAUUCUAUAUAUAUAUAUAUAUAUAUACUGGUUACAUACACAUUGCUUGUACACCAAAAGUAUUCUUUAUAGACGAAGCUUGAGCAGUUUCAAGAACUCUUUCCAGUUUCCAAUCGAAUUUGUCCAUGCUUUGCACACACCAAGGUGCUAAGAUCCUCUUUUGCUAUAUUUAAUCUCAAGGAAUUGGAUAGAUAACGACCUUUCCCGUAGCUCUUCCGGUUUCGAGAUAAGAGAAUGCCUCAACCACCUGAGAGAAAGGGAAUGGCCCCUUCGGGUCCAGAAGAGGCUUCACCUUCCCGCUUUCGAGAUAAGGGUUGAGCUUCGUCAGGCUCUCCCCGUUGGACGUGACGACGAAUCUGAAGCCCGGGGGCGUGACAGGGCCCGUGAGCACCACGACGCUGCCCCCUUCUUUCACUGCUUUCACCGCUCUUUCGCACUGACCUGUUAUAAAAGUAUAACACCCAUAGGGAAUAUCAAAUGAGAAAUUUGAGAAUGUACGUGCAUCCUAGUUAGCAAAGAUCUUAAAUUUUGAAAAGAUAUAGCAAAGGAAAAUGAUUAAGCAAUACCAGGGGGGACAUGAAGGCUGAAGAGUAUGUGAUUCAACAAUUUAAAUGGUGUGGGUGGCAUAAAAGAUGAACUAAGCCUAAGUAACGCGGAAAUUACAACAGUUGGUAGGAAAAGGAAAAAAAAAAAAAAAAAAAAAAAAAUCAGAACAACUCCAUGAGGUUUCAAAAUGCAGAGAGAUUUUGUGUUGAAGAAUCACUAAAGUUUUGGAGGAUGAGUUAGCAGAGAUGGACUAGUCAAGUUACCGAUUAACGAUAUGUCUUUAAACAGUGGCAUUCAGGAGAAUCGAAGAAUCAUUUUAACAAUUUCACAAGCUAAUCAAGUAGGUAGAUUAUCUUACCAACAGCAUCAUACACUACAUCAAACUUCUCAGGUAGUUCUUCAAUGUUUUCCUUGGUGUAGUCGAUCGCUAAGUCGGCACCCAGGCUCUUCAACAGCUCCAGCUUUCCUGUGCUAGAAGUGGCCGCAACUUUCGACGCACCGUAGACAUGCUUUGCUAGCUUCAAAAGAAUACGAAACAUUUCAAUUCACAUCGAUAACGGUGUGAAGCAAGCAUUUCGAGAUCAUCAAACCACUAGAAACACGAACUAAUGAAAAAGAAGAGCUUUUAACCUGAAUCACGAGCGAGCCGACUCCGCCAGCACCACCCAAAACAAGAACUGAUUUACCCGCGGAAAAUCCAGCUUUUUCAAGGCCUUCAUAUGCCGUCUCGAUGGCCAAAGGAAGACUAGCAGCCUGCGCAAAGUCCAGAUUCUUAGGUUUUACAGCCAGCAGCUUCUCCUCGACUGCAGUGUACUCCGCAAGCGAUCCGAAUUGCUUCGGAUUCUCCAACGCCUUCUCGUUUAUGUCCCCGUAUACUUCGUCCCCUUCUUUUAGAUUCUUGACUUGGCUACCAACCUUCACCACGACGCCGGCCACAUCGUAACCCGGUACCGUCUACCAAUCAAAAUAACAUACAAUAAAUUGCACAGGCUUCGUGAAUGUAUCUGAAUAUUUAUUAGUGAUUAAUAAGGGUAAAUGCGAAAAAAUCAUCAACAUGCGUUAUUACUUGUAUUGUAAUUUUAGUCCGGGAACUUUUACCUUAAACACUGCAGUAUCCGUGAAUGUUUCCAUCUAUUGUAAUUUUAUUCAUACUCUCUCAACUACAUAAAAAUAUUAACCUUUUACCACAAAAACAACAAGUUUAACACCAUUAGGUAAAAUGAAAAGAUCAUUUUACAAGGAAACAUCAUUUUUUUAUUUUAAUUUGCUUUUGCAUGGACAGGAAUGGAAUUACAUUACAUAUGAGAGAAGUUAUCGGACUAAGUUGUGAUAUCGGAAUAGUACAGGGACCUACAAUUCAUUUUUACCCUAAACCGUUCUCUUCUCCGUAAUUACACAAACAUGUACAAAAAAUGAAUGAGAUAAUGUAUUCUUUGUAAAAAUUUCAAAUUACCUAAAGCAUUAAACAUAGAAAAAUAAGAAAA